GCCUUCGUGGUGUAGUGGUCAGCACGCUCGACGCGUAACCCAGAGGUCCGGGGUUCGAUUCCCGGAGAAGGUG
Molecule: non-coding RNA, 73 nt
Organism: Stegodyphus mimosarum
Lineage: Eukaryota; Metazoa; Arthropoda; Arachnida; Araneae; Eresidae
Source: Rfam